RNAcentral lists this ribosomal RNA (899 nucleotides) under Pseudolactococcus raffinolactis. RNAcentral's name for it is "bacterial SSU rRNA". It matches the Rfam family "Bacterial small subunit ribosomal RNA", at positions 37 to 914 of the family's 1533-position model. Lineage: Bacteria; Bacillati; Bacillota; Bacilli; Lactobacillales; Streptococcaceae. The record is from RNAcentral.
UGGCGGGGGCUAUAAUGCAGUUGACGCUUGAUUUUCACCGAAGCUUGCUUCGCCGAAAAUCAAGAGUAGCGAACGGGUGAGUAACGCGUGGGUAACCUACCUUUCAGCGGGGGAUAACUAUUGGAAACGAUAGCUAAUACCGCAUAACAAUGUUGGAUGCAUAUUCGACAUUUGAAAGUACCAACUGGUACACUGAGAGAUGGACCCGCGUUGUAUUAGCUAGUUGGUAGUGUAAUGGACUACCAAGGCGAUGAUACAUAGCCGACCUGAGAGGGUGAUCGGCCACAUUGGGACUGAGACACGGCCCAAACUCCUACGGGAGGCAGCAGUAGGGAAUCUUCGGCAAUGGACGAAAGUCUGACCGAGCAACGCCGCGUGAGUGAAGAAGGUUUUCGGAUCGUAAAACUCUGUUGUUAGAGAAGAACGUUGCAUAGAGUGGAAAAUUAUGCAAGUGACGGUAUCUAACCAGAAAGGGACGGCUAACUACGUGCCAGCAGCCGCGGUAAUACGUAGGUCCCGAGCGUUGUCCGGAUUUAUUGGGCGUAAAGCGAGCGCAGGUGGUUUAAUAAGUCUGAUGUAAAAGGCAGUGGCUCAACCAUUGUGUGCAUUGGAAACUGUUAGACUUGAGUGCAGUAGAGGAGAGUGGAAUUCCAUGUGUAGCGGUGAAAUGCGUAGAUAUAUGGAGGAACACCGGUGGCGAAAGCGGCUCUCUGGACUGUCACUGACACUGAGGCUCGAAAGCGUGGGUAGCAAACAGGAUUAGAUACCCUGGUAGUCCACGCCGUAAACGAUGAGUGCUAGUUGUUUGGGGCUAUCCAGCCCUAAGUGACGCAGCAAACGCAUUAAGCACUCCGCCUGGGGAGUACGACCGCAAGGGUUGAAACUCAAAGGAAUUUGAC